AGAACGAACGCUGGCGGCAUGCCUAAUACAUGCAAGUCGAACGAACACUUCGGUGUUAGUGGCGCACGGGUGCGUAACGCGUGGGAAUCUGCCCUUGGGUUCGGAAUAACAGUUGGAAACGACUGCUAAUACCGGAUGAUGACGAAAGUCCAAAGAUUUAUCGCCCAGGGAUGAGCCCGCGUAGGAUUAGCUAGUUGGUGAGGUAAAGGCUCACCAAGGCGACGAUCCUUAGCUGGUCUGAGAGGACGAUCGGCCACACUGGGACUGAGACACGGCCCAGACUCCUACGGGAGGCAGCAGUAGGGAAUAUUGGACAAUGGGCGCAAGCCUGAUCCAGCAAUGCCGCGUGAGUGAUGAAGGCCUUAGGUUGUAAAGCUCUUUUACCCGAGAUGAUAAUGACAGUAUCGGAGAAUAAGCCCCGGCUAACUCCGUGCCAGCACGCCGAC
Molecule: ribosomal RNA, 446 nt
Filed under: uncultured soil bacterium
Lineage: Bacteria
Description: bacterial SSU rRNA
Rfam family: Bacterial small subunit ribosomal RNA
Source: RNAcentral